CAGCCAGGCAACUCCAGGCUGGAUCAAACUGCUGCUCGCUGGGAGGAAUGUGUCAUGAGAUACGUGUGCACAGACCCUCUAUCUGCUGCUAAUGGAAGCAGCUGGUUCGAGUGUCCUAUUUGUGAGCACUUCAUUGCGUCUUUCAAAGCCGUAAAAAAGUGAAGUCUGUGCGGAGAGACAGAGACCCACUCCUGCUCCCCAGAGUGGGUUGUGAGAGGAUCACUCACCCUACUGGCCUCCAUCCAGAGUCCUGUUCUGUUUACCACUGCAGACACAUGGAUACAUGGAUCUCUCAACUAUUCAGAGCUGUGUAACAGAAAUGAGGCCAGAGUAUCCCAGAUAAGGACGAUGCCAUCUUUUGUAUUUGGAGCCAGAGUCUGCUCAGAGGUCAUCGGGGGAUGAAGCUGCAGAAUUGACGCCCAGCCAUCACACGCACUCGACCAAUCACGAGUCAGUCUCAGC
Molecule: non-coding RNA, 462 nt
Organism: Paralichthys olivaceus (Japanese flounder)
Lineage: Eukaryota; Metazoa; Chordata; Actinopteri; Pleuronectiformes; Paralichthyidae
Source: RefSeq, a predicted model, not a curated record